GAUGAACGCUGGCGGCGUGCCUAAUACAUGCAAGUCGAGCGAACAGACGAGGAGCUUGCUCCUCUGACGUUAGCGGCGGACGGGUGAGUAACACGUGGAUAGCCUACCUAUAAGACUGGGAUAACUUCGGGAAACCGGAGCUAAUACCGGAUAAUAUAUUGAACCGCAUGGUUCAAUAGUGAAAGACGGUUUUGCUGUCACUUAUAGAUGGAUCCGCGCCGCAUUAGCUAGUUGGUAAGGUAACGGCUUACCAAGGCAACGAUGCGUAGCCGACCUGAGAGGGGGAUCGGCCACACUGGAACUGAGACACGGUCCAGACUCCUACGGGAGGCAGCAGGAGGGAAUCUUCCGCAAUGGGCGAAAGCCUGACGGAGCAACGCCGCGUGAGUGAUGAAGGUCUUCGGAUCGUAAAACGCUGUUAUUAGGGAAGAACAAAUGUGUAAGUAACUAUGCACGUCUUGACGGUACCUAAGCAGAAAGCCACGGCUAACUACGU
This 496-nucleotide ribosomal RNA is filed under the name uncultured bacterium. RNAcentral's name for it is "partial 16S ribosomal RNA". It matches the Rfam family "Bacterial small subunit ribosomal RNA", at positions 28 to 506 of the family's 1533-position model. The record is from RNAcentral.